Molecule: unclassified non-coding RNA, 150 nt
Filed under: soil metagenome
Description: partial internal transcribed spacer 1
Source: RNAcentral
CCGAGUUAUUACUCCAAACCCUUUGUGAACCUUACCUUUUUGUUGCUCGGCGCACCGCGGGCCGCGGCUUCGGCCCGUCCCGCAGCGCGCCAGAGGACCCAACUCUUCAAUUUAUAGCGUACCUUCUGAUUUACAAAAACAAACAAGUUA